GCUCCACUCGGCUCGGGGGGAUAUAGCUCAGUUGGUAGCGGUGGUUUACCCUGUGGCGGAUGUCAGCGGUUCG
This 73-nucleotide transfer RNA is filed under the name Brachystegia angustistipulata. Its description in RNAcentral is "tRNA-Ala". The record is from RNAcentral. Lineage: Eukaryota; Viridiplantae; Streptophyta; Magnoliopsida; Fabales; Fabaceae.